CUCGGCUGAAGGUGGACCUGCGUUUCAGGUUGCAGUGUCCUUGGCGGCUUGCAUAUAUUUUCUAAAUGAGAAGACUAAAAGUUUGGCUCGAGCUUCCAUCAUAGGACUUGGUUCUCUUGUGGCUGGUUGGGUAUGCGGUUCGUUGGUCGUUCCGAGCAUUCCUUCGUUUCUAUUGCAACCGACGUGGUCACUCGAACUUCUUACAUCUCUAGUAGUAUACAUCUUCUUGUUUCUUUCCUGUACUUUUCUCAAAUAGAUGUCUCUGUGUUGUGCUUAGCUUAUGAUCAAGUAGUAACAAGGAAAAUGGAUUUAAUGGGAG
RNAcentral lists this unclassified non-coding RNA (319 nucleotides) under Hevea brasiliensis (rubber tree). The record is from RNAcentral. Lineage: Eukaryota; Viridiplantae; Streptophyta; Magnoliopsida; Malpighiales; Euphorbiaceae.